CCUACGGUGCGCUGCAGUGAGGGAUAUUGGUCAAUGGGGGAAACCCUGAACCAGCAACGCCGCGUGAGGGAAGACGGUUUUCGGAUUGUAAACCUCUGUCCUCUGUGAAGAUAAUGACGGUAGCAGAGGAGGAAGCUCCGGCUAACUACGUGCCAGCAGCCGCGGUAAUACGUAGGGAGCAAGCGUUAUCCGGAUUUAUUGGGUUUAAAGGGUGCGUAGGCGGAUUUUUAAGUCAGCGGUAAAAUGUCCGGGCUCAACCCGGGCCGGCCGUUGAAACUGGGGAUCUUGAGUGGGCGAGAAGUAUGCGGAAUGCGUGGUGUAGCGGUGAAAUGCAUAGAUAUCACGCAGAACUCCGAUUGCGAAGGCAGCAUACCGGCGCCCGACUGACGCUGAGGCACGAAAGCGUGGGGAUCGAACAGGAUUAGAUACCCCGGUAGUC
Molecule: ribosomal RNA, 439 nt
Filed under: uncultured bacterium
Lineage: Bacteria
Description: partial 16S ribosomal RNA
Rfam family: Bacterial small subunit ribosomal RNA
Source: RNAcentral